GACGAACGCUGGCGGCGUGCUUAACACAUGCAAGUCGAACGGUGAAGCGCCUUCCUUUUUGGUGGGUGUGGAUGAGUGGCGAACGGGUGAGUAACACGUGAGUAACCUGCCCCCUUCUUCUGGAUAACCGCAUGAAAGUGUGGCUAAUACGGGAUAUUCUGGGUCUGUCGCAUGAUGGGUCUGGGAAAGAUAUUGUUUCGGUGGGGGAUGGGCUCGCGGCCUAUCAGCUUGUUGGUGGGGUGAUGGCCUACCAAGGCGGUGACUGGUAGCCGGCCUGAGAGGGUGGACGGUCACACUGGGACUGAGACACGGCCCAGACUCCUACGGGAGGCAGCAGUGGGGAAUAUUGCACAAUGGGCGCAAGCCUGAUGCAGCGACGCCGCGUGAGGGAUGGAGGCCUUCGGGUUGUGAACCUCUUUCGCCAGUGAAGCAGGCCUGCCUCGUUUGUGGGUGGGUUGACGGUAGCUGGAUAAGAAGCGCCGGCUAACUACGUG
RNAcentral lists this ribosomal RNA (494 nucleotides) under uncultured bacterium. RNAcentral describes it as "partial 16S ribosomal RNA". It matches the Rfam family "Bacterial small subunit ribosomal RNA", at positions 28 to 507 of the family's 1533-position model. The record is from RNAcentral.